This 251-nucleotide ribosomal RNA is filed under the name uncultured bacterium. Its description in RNAcentral is "partial 16S ribosomal RNA". It matches the Rfam family "Bacterial small subunit ribosomal RNA", at positions 524 to 774 of the family's 1533-position model. The record is from RNAcentral.
UACGUAGGGGGCGAGCGUUAUCCGGAUUUACUGGGUGUAAAGGGAGCGUAGACGGCCAUGCAAGCCUGAUGUGAAAGGUGUGGGCACAACCCGCACACUGCAUUGGGAACUGUAUGGCUAGAGUGUCGGAGGGGCAGGCGGAAUUCCUGGUGUAGCGGUGAAAUGCGUAGAUAUCAGGAGGAACACCGGUGGCGAAGGCGGCCUGCUGGACGACGACUGACGUUGAGGCUCGAGAGCGUGGGGAGCGAACA